This is a non-coding RNA of Pelobates cultripes (western spadefoot toad), 205 nucleotides long. NCBI's taxonomy places the organism in Eukaryota, Metazoa, Chordata, Amphibia, Anura, Pelobatidae. The record is from the annotation of a GenBank genome assembly.
GCUAAGCCGGAUGGCGAAACAUUACACUUGUUUGGUGAUAGGUGAGGCUCUACUAGUUGCCAAGUGGCUUGAGAGGCUCUAUCUAUGCGUUGGCGCGAGGGGAUUUGAGGCCACCCGUCGUAGUGGCAGGAAUUUUAGGCCUCUCGGUGACUGUAGCAUAGAAAACAGGGAGAGGGAGUUACAGGUGAGGCCCUCUCUAUGCAAC